This 1260-nucleotide long non-coding RNA is filed under the name Anser brachyrhynchus (Pink-footed goose). RNAcentral's name for it is "lncRNA (ENSABRG00000014476.1)". Lineage: Eukaryota; Metazoa; Chordata; Aves; Anseriformes; Anatidae. The record is from RNAcentral.
AUAGUAAUUACAUGAAAUAUUUUGGAGAUUCUUAUAUCUGGAAGAUUUUUGGAAACUUGCUGGUUCCCAUUUGUUCACUUAACAAUAUACUUGUACACUUUUUAUUCUCGCUGCUCACUUUUCUUUCUCUAGUCAUGCUCUUGUGUGGUCCCUGCAGCAACAAGUAGGAGAAAAACAUAGACCUGGUGGAGAGGAAACACUUAUAAGGAAAAUAAGAAAAUACAGCUGUAAAUGAUUUUACAUCAUUUCAUAAUGGGGGAUAUUCUGAAGUCACCAGGAGCAUAAAGUACACUUACCAGAGUGAGCUGAUCAUAUUAUUUUCUGGUCCAAGUUACAGGUGCUGGCAUUUAAGCCCUGUAAAUGCCAAUAAGAAAUCUGGGUUGCAGUGGCUGAAGUCAGCUAUUAAAGUGCUUCCUCUACACAUGAAGAAUCCACUGCUUUGAAAAAAUUGUUAUCUUUGGAGUGAGUGGAUAUGUGAACAGCACAACUGUAGCUUAGAUGUAAAAUGCUUUUAUCUAAAAAUAAAAAUACAGCUUCCAGCCAGCUGUUUGCCUACUGGAGCUUGGCUCUGAUUGGAAUGCUAGCAAAAAGGUGGAGUUCUUGGAAAAGGGCACUUUGGAAGAUACAUUCUUUCUCAUUUCUAAGGGAACAAGGAAGAGAUGGAGGCAGAGGAAGAGAGGCUCAUUGUUCAUCUUGCGUUUAGGUAAGUACUCAUUCAGAUUUUUUCCAGUACCAUAAGUAAAACAUGACAGGUAAAGUGGAGUUUUGUGAGGAAGAACUGUAUGACCAGCUAGUCUGAAAUGUGAAACACCUUGGUUCCAUAUUUCUACCAAAUAGGGUAUAUGCAAAAGACAACCUUUUUUUCAUCUGGGAUAAAGAACAUACUUAGAAGUAUAACAAGUUAUUUGAUUAAAACUCCUCAUCUGAAAGCUGAUCGAUAUGUAGUAUUUUUCUUGUUCACUGAAUUCACUUUUAUACUUUUCUAAUAUCAUGCAAAUUAAAUACUAUAAAGUGACUGAUCCCACUCUUUUCUGUAUCAUCCAUUUUUAUCUCUGCCCUUGUAAUAUUUUUUUUUCCUUUUUAAACAUCAGAGAACUGUAGGCUUCUAAUGCUGUAUAUUAUUACAAUAACAACCAAUACCUGGAGCAGGCAAAUCCCCUGUUAGUGUUCUGAAGCAGCAAUUAUUCCCAUAGUAAAAAGCCACUCCUCUUUAAAAAAAAAAAAGCCUCUUAAUUAUCAGCAGCUGUCCAGCCUCCUCUU